ACUAGGAUUAGAUACCCUAUUAUAGGAAAAUUAAAUAAUAAUACUAAAAUAGUAGAUAAUAAUUUAUUGAAACUUAAAUAAUUUGGCGGUAUUUUAGUUCAUUUAGAGGAAUCUGUCUAAUAAUUGAUAAUCCACGAAUAAAUUUACUUAAUUUAAUAUUUUGUAUAUCAUUGUUAAAAAAAUAUUUUUUAAUAAUAAUAAUAUUUAAAAAUUUUAAAUAUAAAUUAACUCAGAUCAAGAUGCAGAUUAUAAUUAAGAUUAAAGAUGGAUUACAAUAAAUUUAUUUAAAUGGAAAAAAUUUUGUAAUAUUUGAUUGAAAGUGGAUUUAAAUGUAAUUUUAUUUAAUUUACUAACUCGAUAUU
This 362-nucleotide ribosomal RNA is filed under the name Libythea celtis (nettle-tree butterfly). RNAcentral's name for it is "partial 12S ribosomal RNA". The record is from RNAcentral. Lineage: Eukaryota; Metazoa; Arthropoda; Insecta; Lepidoptera; Nymphalidae.